This 69-nucleotide transfer RNA is filed under the name Ictidomys tridecemlineatus (thirteen-lined ground squirrel). RNAcentral's name for it is "Spermophilus tridecemlineatus (thirteen-lined ground squirrel) tRNA". It matches the Rfam family "tRNA". Rfam says of the family: Transfer RNA (tRNA) molecules are approximately 80 nucleotides in length. Their secondary structure includes four short double-helical elements and three loops (D, anti-codon, and T loops). Lineage: Eukaryota; Metazoa; Chordata; Mammalia; Rodentia; Sciuridae. The record is from Rfam by way of RNAcentral.
AGGGAUGUAACUCAAUGAUAAAGUACUUGCCUAGCAUUCAUGAGAUCCUGGGUUCAAUUCCCAGCACUA